UAUUCCUAGACAAAAGAAGACAAAACAUGGUCUUAACUUGGAGACUAAAAUUUAAUGGACAGGGGUAAGAAACAAUUCUCUUUUGCAACCCAGAACUCAUUGUUUGGUAUGAAUUUUGACACAAAUAAAAAGGAAAAUU
Molecule: small nucleolar RNA, 139 nt
Filed under: Cavia porcellus (domestic guinea pig)
Lineage: Eukaryota; Metazoa; Chordata; Mammalia; Rodentia; Caviidae
Description: Small nucleolar RNA SNORA40
Rfam family: Small nucleolar RNA SNORA40 (bases 22-139)
About the family: The snoRNA ACA 40 belongs to the H/ACA family of snoRNAs and guides the pseudouridylation of 28S rRNA subunit at position U4565. NB This family has a high threshold value to exclude a large number of closely related sequences that do not appear to have conserved H and ACA boxes, and may be pseudogenes.
Source: Rfam by way of RNAcentral